UGCACCCUCUGGAGCCUAUCUGCAUUUCAGCCACUCUGGGCAUGAACGCAGCCGCUAGUUCUCCGGGCAGAGGAACUGCACUCCUGCCUCUGAAGAAUGAAAGACCAAGAGGCCGUUUUGUCCAAAAUGUAUCUAAUCGUGUAGUGCACGAGAGAUGAGGUCUGUAUACAUAUUGUUCUAAAAGGCCUACUGAAAGGCCUUUAUUGAAGCAUUGAUAAUGCAGCCUGACUCUGACAUCGAAGGGGAAUGAAGAAAUAAAUAUUAUAAUAAGGACUGAAA
Suricata suricatta (meerkat) is the source of this 279-nucleotide long non-coding RNA. RefSeq lists it as uncharacterized. The record is from RefSeq and is a predicted model, not a curated record. The transcript is spliced from 2 exons. NCBI's taxonomy places the organism in Eukaryota, Metazoa, Chordata, Mammalia, Carnivora, Herpestidae.